UACGGGAGGCAGCAGUGGGGAAUAUUGCACAAUGGGCGCAAGCCUGAUGCAGCCAUGCCGCGUGUAUGAAGAAGGCCUUCGGGUUGUAAAGUACUUUCAGUCGUGAGGAAGGUGUUAAGGUUAAUAACCUUAGCAAUUGACGUUAGCGACAGAAGAAGCACCGGCUAACUCCGUGCCAGCAGCCGCGGUAAUACGGAGGGUGCGAGCGUUAAUCGGAAUUACUGGGCGUAAAGGGCACGCAGGCGGUUAAUUAAGUUGGAUGUGAAAUCCCCGGGCUUAACCUGGGAAUGGCAUUCAAGACUGGUUAGCUAGAGUCUUGUAGAGGGGGUUAGAAUUCCAUGUGUAGCGGUGAAAUGCGUAGAGAUGUGGAGGAAUACCGGUGGCGAAGGCGGCCCCUGGACAAGGGACUGACGCUCAUGUGCGAAAGCGUGGGGAGCAAAC
This 441-nucleotide ribosomal RNA is filed under the name uncultured bacterium. RNAcentral describes it as "bacterial SSU rRNA". It matches the Rfam family "Bacterial small subunit ribosomal RNA", at positions 340 to 773 of the family's 1533-position model. The record is from RNAcentral.